Non-coding RNA from Manis javanica (Malayan pangolin), 1121 nucleotides. Lineage: Eukaryota; Metazoa; Chordata; Mammalia; Pholidota; Manidae. The record is from RefSeq and is a predicted model, not a curated record.
GUCCUAGGAAGAAAGUGACAAGGGUGCUGGGACCAGGGCCAGUGCCAGAGGCCCUCUGUGGCCCCCGGGUCCCAGUCUAUAAAUGCCAGGCCCCAGGGGGUGUAUCUGGCACAGCUCCCUGAAUCCUCACGUCGGAGCUGCCUGCCCACAGCCUUCUGUUGCUGCCUCCCUUCACGGUGGCAGCACAAGGGCGCGCAGGUCCAAAUGCUGGUCUCACCAUUUCCUUGCUGCUUGAUCUUGGGCAGUGACUUGCAAGCUUCCUACCUCAGUUUCCCCACCUGUAAAUUGGUGAUAAUAAUAGCUCCUACCUAUUCUGGGAACAAAAGGAGUGGAAAUGUGUAAAGCUCUUAGGACUGUACCUGCACACAGAGCAUCACAGAGGCGUGUUGUUCCUAACACAAUCAGACAUCGGACUCCUAACUUGAGGAAGUAAAGACGUGCUUGAGAUCAAAGUGCUGCAGCUGAAACCAGAACCCAGCCUGACUUCUCUCCUCCCACCUUUCUGUCCCACCCUGGGCAGGCGGCAGAGCAGUGGCACCACGGCCACCCAGUGGGGAGCAGGGGGCAGAUGAGCAGCCUGUCCCAUGAGGGUGGCAGGGCAAGGCAAUGACACGCAGCACCAACCAGAGACGCCGGGAUGUUUCCCUGGGAAGCCUCCCCUGACCGCCGAAGUGUGGCAUGCUCUCAGUGGAUUAGGACUUUCCCGCCCGUCCCCUGCAAACACCACUGGAAGCAGAGCCUGUGCUCCAGCAGCCCCCAUAGAGCUGGUAACUACUGGACACUCAACAUAUGCAUCUCCAUCACCACCUACGGGAGCCCUGAGAAGCGAGCUUGGAGGGGAUGGAGUGGCCCCAGAGCCGUGGUGGUGGCCCCCCCCCACCCCUAUGAGCAAACUGAGGCUCCGGUGCGAGUCAGAAGAGCUGGGCUCUGGACUCAGGCAGUUUGCCUCCUCUCAGCCCACACACAUGUUCCACUCACAUGACACUCUGGGGAGCUCAGCAGACCCACCACGUUUCAUUCUAUAAAUGGCCUGAGUGCAGACGUCAGCCCUGAGUCACCCGGCACCCGCUCAGCAAAGCUUGACUUGACAACAUGCUGCUCUGAAAUAACAAGUUAUUCUG